Molecule: long non-coding RNA, 6579 nt
Organism: Capsicum annuum
Lineage: Eukaryota; Viridiplantae; Streptophyta; Magnoliopsida; Solanales; Solanaceae
Exons: 4
Source: RefSeq, a predicted model, not a curated record
AUGAUAAUAAAAUUACAAAUCAAACCUAGUUAAAUAUUUCAACUUCUUUUAAUAUCCCUACUAAUAUUAGAAUUUGUGUGAUGCUCAAUCCAGAUUAAAAAGAAUUUAUCAUUGCAAAUCAUUUUCUUAUUUAUUUGAGCAAAUCAAAACAUAUAAUCGGAUGAGGCCUAAAAGUGAACUGACCCAGAUCCAAAAACCAGAGACAAAAGUAUGAUGAAUUCAGACAUUUAGGUCAUUUAGGAAAGUAAAGCCUCCUCGUGUGGCUUUUCAUCUUCCCCGAUCAUCUUCGAUGCUAUUAUACUCGACUGUCGUUGUGGUUCUCCAAUCGCGACCAUCUUCAUCUCAGUCAACUAAGCUAAGUUUCAAACCUUCAACUUAUCUUCUUUACUUUCAUAGAUCGAUGGAUUGAGAUUCUUAAGAAUCUAAUACCACCAUCUUAACUAGAAAAUAAAUUACAGUAAAUUGUGAUUUGAAGACUUUGUAAGUGUAUAAGGUUCUUCCUAAUAAUUUGUACGGACUUAUUUCGGAUCUGAUAUAGCAGCUGUUUAAGUAUUCAUCCCCUUCACCGGUGGUGGACCGAUGUAGAAAUUUGGGGUGCUCCGUCACCCACUAAACUCGAUGCAAAAUAUCUAAAAUUACAUAGAAAAUAUAUGAAAAUAGGUAUAAAAUAUAUAAAAGGAUACACUAUAACAAAAAGUUUGUUGGGUGCAUUGGCAUUUGGAUGAUCUUAAUGUGCUUCAUUGGGAGGAGGCCGUUCGAACCUCAUUGAAUUGUUUAAGCACUCACUAUUCUUAAAUUUUGGGUCUGCCACUGCCCUUCACAUCCCAAAUCUCACUGGAUACAGGGUUAGUACUUCAAGAAAAUCACUUCCAACAACAGGUACCAUCAUCUCCUUAAAUGAUCCCCAAUAUGAUUAUUACCAACCUAUUUACAAUUUAUUAUUUUGGUUGUUUGAGGUUAUUCUUCUCUGAUUUCUGUCUUGAUUCAAAGAAUGGAGAUGUUGUAGUUAUCUGCAUAUUCCAUGUUACUUUUUACUCCUAUGCCAUGUUGUAGUGUAUGCUCCUUAAGUAUCCUGUCUUGUUUUCCUGAUUGCUAUUUUCUGUUGCAAACCUCUUACAUGAAUUGUUGUUAUUGUAGAUUCAUGUUUCCUUUGUGGUUCUUCUAAUGUUAGAAGUCCCACUUUUGCCUAGAUUAAUGAUAGCCUUUUCGUUCACUGGCAUCUCUUCAAGAUUAUUAUUAUACUGAAAAAUCACCUACAAUAUCAAAAACUAGGUUAGUAAAAAAAUCAGCUAGAGUGUUACCUUCUCGAAGGGAAUGGACCACCCUAACUAAUAUAUUAUCCAUCAUAGCUUUUAUGGGGUUGACCACCAUUGUCAUACUCCAUGAAACCUCCCAAUUUAGGUUAAGAAUAUGUACAAUCACUUUCCGCAAUUAUUUGCUAAAUAGAGUUAGCUCUGUAGAACAGUAGCCAUGCCUUGAUAGUUAUAGCUUUUGCUAACAAGCUAGUAGUGUCUUUAAUUCUGGAUCCUUUAGCUACCACUAAAUCACCAUGAUGAUAUCUAAUGCAAAAUGCAAUAGAGCUAGGGCCAAGAUUUCCUUUAGAGACACCAUCAGUGUUACCCUUUAGCCAACCAGUCUCAUAAGGAAACCAAUUCACCAGUUUAAAUAAAUAAUGGCUACUAUAACUUUGAAGUUCAUCUACUCUACUAUGCCAUUUUUUACCUGCAACCUUCAUACCAAUAGUAUCAUUCACUUCCCAAUAAAUCUUCCUUUCAUGAUAAGCACCCCCAUUUAAAACAAUAUUUCUUCUCUUCCAUAAAAGUCAAAGAAUAAUUAUAGGGACAACACUGAAUACAAUCCUCAAUCUAUAGUUAUCAUCUAGAAAUCGUCAUUUAAUCUCCGCUCAACUAAGUCAGUUUCUCCAUGUAAAUGGUUCCACACCCUUUCAGCAAUUUCUCCAUUAAAAAAUAGGUGAUUAAUUGUUUCUCUUACUGAAUUACUACAACAAACACAAUUUUUGUAAUAUCAGGGUUCCAAUUAUUCAUCAAAUCAGAAAUCGGGAUCGUACCUAUCCGAAUUCUCUUAAGAAUGACAAUUUAAAAGGCAAUUCUUUAAGCCAGAUUUCCUUUUAAAUCUUUAUUUUCAUCAGCUCUUUGUCUAAGAAGUUCCCAAGCACUUUCGAUAGUGAACUUUCUGGUGCUAUUCAUGAUCCACCAGGGUUUAUCCAUGGUAUCUUCAUAGCAAACAAAGUCCACAUUGUCUAUGACAUAACUUACCACACAUCUUAUCACUUUAUCCUGAAUAACUUCAUAGUUUCAACCCUCUACAUCUAAAAAUUUUAUAAUAUCUGUCAAAGGAUAACAAGUUUGCACCUCGGAUUGCUGCAUACACAAUGGACCAGUAUUUGUCCGAUUGUCAAACCAAGUAGUGGAUGUCCCACCUCUAGGCUCCCACCAUAAACAUUGUUCUAUUUUGUCUCUAUUAUUCAGCAUACCUUUCCACACUUGAGAUCCACCUCUCCAUUACACUAAUGUUGGCACCUGUUUUUUAUAAUACUUAUUCCACGAAAAAUUAGACCACAAGUUGCUCUGAGUUCUAAACCUCCACCAUAGUUUGGCGUGCAUAGCUUGAGAUACAUUUUCCAUGGAUCUAAACCGCAAUCCCCUUCCUGUUUAGGGAUACAAAGUUUGUUUUACGCCACCUAGUGUUUGUUACUUCCUGUUUCUUAUUCUGCCAAAAGAAUUUAGCAAAGGUUCUCUGCAUUUCUUUUAACACACUCUUUGGUGGGACUACUGUUAACCCAAACAUAUAAUGGUACACUCUGUAGUACACUUUUAUAAGGACUUCUUUGCCACCAUAAGAUAUUAAUCUGCCCUUCCAAGCUUGAAGUUUACCUUUGAUCUUGUCAAUCAACUCAUCAUAAUGCUCUUUCUUCUUCUUGGAGUGAGUUAAGAGGCAUCCGAGAUAUUUCAGAGAAAAAGAGAUUUUAUUCAUCCAUGUAAUCUAUUCAACCUGCAUCACCACAUUAGAAGGAGUAGUUUGAUGCAUAUAGAUAAAUUCUUAUCCCUGUUUACCUUCUGGCCAUACUCAAUCUCAUAUUCCUGCAAAAUACUCAUUAUCUUACUCAUAGAGUAAUCAUUAGAAGUAAGUAUGAUAGUAUCAUUUGCAUAAGCUAGGUGGUUCAAGUUAAAACUCCGCUUAGACAUACCAAACCCCACAUAAGAGAUAUCAUCAAAUAAUUGAGUAAGAGCUCCCGUCAUUACUUCAGCAGAUUUAAUAAUUGAGUAAAUAUUAGAAGGUUUUCCUCUUUUCCCUAUAUCAAUAAUCAGUUCUUGCAUAAGUAGAACAUUUUCACAAUACUCCUUCGUUUAACAAAUCCUGAUUCAUUAGAGAAAAUCAAUCUAGGAAAAAGAUUUUUCAACCGAUCAUGCACAACCCUAGAAAGGAUUUUAUUCACAAAGUUACUCAAACUAAUUGAACUCAAAUCGGAAAAGGAUUGCACAUUAUCCUUUUUAGGAAUGAGAAUCAAAGUAGUAUGAGUAAUGAAUUUAGGAAGAGUAUUACUUGCAAAAAGUCCAGAACAGGCUCCUCACAUCUCCACCAAUAAUGUCCCAGCAAACCAGAUAAAACCUGCCAGAUAGUCUAUCAGGUCCACGACUGCUAUCCAUCCCUAUUUAAUUUAAACACAACCUGCUUAAUUUCUUCCUUAACUAGGAUCGCCUUAAGAAUCCUGUUAUAAUCUUCAAAGAUUAACUCAGGAAUGUGAUCUAGAAAAGGGAAUUCUAAAGCAUCUCUUCCCUGUCUAAACUGUUGUUGAUAAUAAGUUAUUGCCUCACUUGCAAUCUGAGCUUCAUUUUCUAACCAACCAGAUUCACUAAGGAUCCUAGAAAUUUUUAGUUUGUUCCUUCUUCCUUUGACAAUGCUAUGAAAGAAUUUGUUUUUUCUAUCCCUAUUUUCAAACCAGUCAUAUCCAGCCUUUAGUUGCCAGUAACUCUCCUCUAAUUGAAGAUACCUGAUAUAUUCAGCCCUUGCUUUCUGCAUUACAACUCUAUUUCCGUGUGAUGGUGAUUCUUCAAAUAGUUUUUCCUUUACCUUAGGUAUUUCCUCCCUGAUUAUCAAUUAUUGAAAUAUAUCCCCAAGAGUCUUAUCUGUUUCACUCAACAAAUGCUCUUUUCACCUUUUUAAUCUUUCUUUUGAAAUCGUGAAAGGGAUUAUCAGUGCUUUCAUCAUCCCAGUUCCUUCUGACUACCUCUUUAAAUUCAUCAUGCUCAGUCCUAAAGUUUAAAAAUUUAAAAAACUUCUGAAACUUAAUUUUGGAAUUUUCAUAUCUUAGAAAAAGAGGAGAUUAAUCAGAACCAUCUUUAGCCAAAUGUUCCUCCUCCACUAAGUUAAAUAUAUCUAGAAAACCUGAAUUACAAAACAUUCUGUCCAGUUUCUCAAAAAUGCAAUCAUCACCUGCUCUCCCAUUCCAUCAGAUAAAUGGACUACCCUUGCGUUGAAUUAGGAUAAGUUCACAGGAUUCAACAGUCUUUGAAAUUCUCCGUUUCUGCAGUAAUUACAGGCAAACCUCCAAUCUUAUCUGAACCAUUAAGGAGUGAAUUAAAAUCCCUUCCUAUGAUCAAGGUUUAGAAUUCCCAUUGGCUAUAGAGAAGAUACUAUCCCAAAGGUUCGAUUUUUGACUUAUGUCAUAUUUAGUAUAAAUUAGGAUCACAAGAAAAGAUGUACCAAGGGACUGAUGUUGUAGUUGCAGAGAGAGUAACUUUUCUAUGUCGCUCUUUAUGAUAACAGUAAAGCCAUGAUUCACAAAGCACCAAAUUUUACCAUUACAAUUAUGAAACAUGAGAGGCACCUACAGUCUCCCUAUGUAUUUAUUAAUGUAUUUCGGUUGCUGAAAUGGUUCCAAAAGGGCUAUAAAAGAAAAAUUAUUUAACCUAUUCAGCAUCUGAACUCUCUGAAAAGCUUUUUGAGAUUUGAUCGACCUAAUAUUCCAAAUCAAUACUUUCAUCAUUGCUUAGAGUACGAACUUCCACCCCCUCUCUUAGGUUGAGACCUGCAAGGUAGAUUCUUUCCCCAUUGAUUUUUUUUUUUCUUUCUUUGCUGCUUUGUGGACGUGAUGGCUAUGGGUGACAAGUCUGCUUCCCUAUGAAUUUGCUCCUCUUUAUUCUGAUAGGAUGUUGUCUCCUUCACCCCUUCUAAUAAACCACCAAUUUCGUCCACUGCAUCCACCUUAUUAGUAAGUAUAUCAUGUAACACUUUGUUGGAAGAUUCUGAGUCACCACUCCAUACAUGUUCAGCUGCUGCAAUUGGAAUUUCAACUAUGGCCGCAAGACUGUUAUUAUCUUGCUCUUGAUUAGAACUCUCUUCUCUUUGUGCUAGAUUAUCCUUCUGGGUAACACUGUCUUUUGUUGGGGAAUUAAUCUUUGCUAUCUUUAUGUUGUCAGCACUUUUGCUGCUUAUGAUGAACCAACUGUUCCCUCGCUUCUACUUGACUGAUAUCUCUUUUAUCAGAUUCAUCAUAGCUGAUAGCUGGCACCAUAUUGUUGUAUUGAUUCUCUCAUAGCGUUUUUUGUAGGCUUCUCGACAAUUUUAAUGCUCCUUGGACCAAUAUCGUAAGCUUGCGAUGUCUACUUUGGGAAUAAUAGCCUCAGGUGGAAAUGUUGAGAAACCUUUCCAACAUCUUGAAUGGAAGGAAUUUUUUCCAUAUGCAGUGAGGAAUUUCGCUCAAUUGAAACCAUAACAACCAAAACAAUAUAAUACUAGCCAGACUGGUCUGAUUCAAAACAGCAGCGGAAAUUGGAUCAUUGGUUUCCAAAGAUAUCAUAAUAUCUUUUCACCCUUGCAAGCUGAAUUGGUGGCACAAGGAGGAAACAAUAUGUUAGAUGUGUAGAUGUAAAUUCUAGUAUAAUCCUAGCAAACUACGCCUAUCUUAAUGUUCUAAAUCGCAUCUAUCGUAUGGUUAUAAAGAUUUCAAGUACGGUAGAAAAUCAAACUGCUCCGUUUGGACGCGGACUGCAAUAUUGUGAAUAUUCAAGUUUCGAGAGAAGUCACCGAGUAUUCAAGCUAUAAAAAUGCAGCAUAAAGCUGCAUAGCUCGUAUGAUAGAGCUAAUGUAAUCCAACCCUUCUGUAAACCCCAUAUAUGAUUAUGCAAUGCAAACUGCAUAGCUCGUACGAUUGACCUAAUGUAACCCAACUCCAUGCAUGCAUAACCGAAACCUGAGUGUAUUGGAUUACCCUUUCUUAUGACUCUCUUCAAAACCAAAGGAAGAACAUUGUACAUACAAUUUUAAAAAUAUAUUCUCAGUUCCUUCAUCCUUACAUGUUCUGAUCUGCCUCAAUAUGUACAGGAGCUAUUUGCAUAAAGAAAGAAAGAAAAAAACAACAACUCUUUUAUCCCUUUUGACUAUUCAUUCAUCACUGCAAAGAGCAAAAAGCUAACCUUAGGGGGAAAAAAAGGAAGGGGGUGUACAAAGUUCUCUUCUGCUUCAACACAAGCUGCUUUGACCAAUGAAUUGAUCCAUCAGUUUACUACUCUAACUUUGGUCCACUGUACAGUGCUCCAGCUACAGUUAAAUCCUCAG